UACGUAGGGGGCAAGCGUUAUCCGGAUUCACUGGGUGUAAAGGGAGCGUAGACGGCAAUGCAAGUCUGGAGUGAAAGGCGGGGGCCCAACCCCCGGACUGCUCUGGAAACUGUAUAGCUGGAGUGCAGGAGAGGUAAGUGGAAUUCCUAGUGUAGCGGUGAAAUGCGUAGAUAUUAGGAGGAACACCAGUGGCGAAGGCGGCUUACUGGACUGUAACUGACGUUGAGGCUCGAAAGCGUGGGGAGCAAACAGG
Molecule: ribosomal RNA, 253 nt
Filed under: uncultured bacterium
Lineage: Bacteria
Description: partial 16S ribosomal RNA
Rfam family: Bacterial small subunit ribosomal RNA
Source: RNAcentral